RNAcentral lists this ribosomal RNA (254 nucleotides) under uncultured bacterium. Its description in RNAcentral is "partial 16S ribosomal RNA". It matches the Rfam family "Bacterial small subunit ribosomal RNA", at positions 524 to 776 of the family's 1533-position model. The record is from RNAcentral.
UACGUAGGGGGCAAGCGUUGUCCGGAUUUAUUGGGCGUAAAGAGCGUGUAGGCGGCCAUGCAGGUCAGCUGUGAAAACUCGAUGGCUCAACCUCGAGAUGUCGGUUGAAACCGUGUGGCUAGAGUCCGGAAGAGGAGAGUGGAAUUCCCGGUGUAGCGGUGAAAUGCGCAGAUAUCGGGAAGAACACCCGUGGCGAAAGCGGCUCACUGGACCACAACUGACGCUGAGGCGCGAAAGCUAGGGGAGCAAACAGG